RNAcentral lists this ribosomal RNA (484 nucleotides) under uncultured bacterium. RNAcentral's name for it is "bacterial SSU rRNA". It matches the Rfam family "Bacterial small subunit ribosomal RNA", at positions 501 to 982 of the family's 1533-position model. The record is from RNAcentral.
CUACGUGCCAGCAGCCGCGGUAAUACGUAGGGCGCGAGCGUUGUCCGGAAUUAUUGGGCGUAAAGAGCUUGUAGGCGGUUGGUCGCGUCUGCUGUGAAAGGCUGGGGCUUAACCCUGGUUUUGCAGUGGGUACGGGCUAACUAGAGUGCAGUAGGGGAGACUGGAAUUCCUGGUGUAGCGGUGGAAUGCGCAGAUAUCAGGAGGAACACCGAUGGCGAAGGCAGGUCUCUGGGCUGUAACUGACGCUGAGAAGCGAAAGCAUGGGGAGCGAACAGGAUUAGAUACCCUGGUAGUCCAUGCCGUAAACGUUGGGCACUAGGUGUGGGGGACAUUCCACGUUUUCCGCGCCGUAGCUAACGCAUUAAGUGCCCCGCCUGGGGAGUACGGCCGCAAGGCUAAAACUCAAAGAAAUUGACGGGGGCCCGCACAAGCGGCGGAGCAUGCGGAUUAAUUCGAUGCAACGCGAAGAACCUUACCAAGGCUU